AUCAAAUAUACACAAAUGCAUAUAAAGCAUACUAUAUUAACAUAUAAUUAGAAUACAUUUACGAAGAAGAUCUGUGAAGAUCCUUUGGUCACAGUCCAUGGGACGGGUUCUGAGAGCAGUAUUGGAUGGACGUACUGCCAGUUAGAGAACACUGCUGUAUCAGAGGAAACCAGCCUGGGAUAUUCUCAUGAAAGCCUGCCAUGACUGAGGGCACUUCUAGAUAAAGAGGAACUAGAAACAUUUCUGGAUAAAUAGAGCUAUGUUUUUUUAUCCUUAUCUCUCAUGCCCUGAUUUGAGGGAGUCAGAAGAUGGAGAAGAAGGAGGACGUUGAGGAAGGUCCGUUGACUAAUAAAUCCCAAUCCCAUUGUUGGUUCCUAAGACCGUGACACAUUGGACUAAGAGGGGCCAAGUCCUCAUUCCCUGAUAGUGACAUCAAAUUAACAAACAGAAACUGGCUAAAAUAAUUUUUGUGAGAAUUCUAGGAAAACAAAAAACUUCACCAACCAAAGGAAUGCUUCUUCAAGAAAAAUGCCAAAUUCAAAAUAG
This 546-nucleotide long non-coding RNA is filed under the name Rhinopithecus bieti (black snub-nosed monkey). RNAcentral's name for it is "lncRNA (ENSRBIG00000045565.1)". Lineage: Eukaryota; Metazoa; Chordata; Mammalia; Primates; Cercopithecidae. The record is from RNAcentral.